CUUCCGAUCAAAUCCAUGGAUGGAUCGGUGAAAACAGAAUAUUGAAAAAAGGAGUAUUUUCUAAUGCCUUUGAUCCCACUCGAGUCACUCAACUCUCUUGGCAUCCCAGGGCUUUCAUUUACAAGGGGUUUUUAUCAAACGAGGAGUGUGAUCAUCUUAUUAAUUUGGCUAGGGAUAAGCUUGAGAAAUCAAUGGUGGCUGAUAAUGAAUCUGGGAAGAGUAUGGAGAGUGAAGUAAGGACAAGCUCUGGCAUGUUUCUUAGCAAAGCUCAGGAUAAAAUUGUUGCUGAUAUUGAGGCUAGGAUUGCUGCAUGUACUUUCCUUCCGGAGGAAAAUGGAGAAUCCAUCCAAAUACUGCACUAUGAGCAUGGUCAGAAGUACGAACCCCAUUUUGAUUAUUUUCAUGACAAGGCUAAUCAAGAGCUGGGUGGCCACCGGGUUGCAACUGUUCUGAUGUAUUUGUCAAAUGUUGAGAGGGGUGGGGAAACAGUGUU
RNAcentral lists this unclassified non-coding RNA (493 nucleotides) under Hevea brasiliensis (rubber tree). The record is from RNAcentral. Lineage: Eukaryota; Viridiplantae; Streptophyta; Magnoliopsida; Malpighiales; Euphorbiaceae.